Molecule: transfer RNA, 87 nt
Filed under: Patescibacteria group bacterium
Lineage: Bacteria
Description: tRNA-Ser
Rfam family: tRNA
About the family: Transfer RNA (tRNA) molecules are approximately 80 nucleotides in length.
Source: RNAcentral
GGAGGUGUGGCUGAGUGGUCUAAAGCACCUGACUUGAAAUCAGGCGUCCGGGUAACUGGACCGUGAGUUCGAAUCUCACCGCCUCCG